Molecule: long non-coding RNA, 435 nt
Organism: Mizuhopecten yessoensis (Yesso scallop)
Lineage: Eukaryota; Metazoa; Mollusca; Bivalvia; Pectinida; Pectinidae
Exons: 2
Source: RefSeq, a predicted model, not a curated record
GUUUAAGAUCUGUUAUCGCCCUUAACACUUCGUACUUAUAAGGAAUGGCAGAACAAAAACAAGGUGGAUGAGGCAGAGGCCGACAGUGAUAACAAUGAGGGCGACAGAGAGGACAGAGGUUAUAUCAAGGUCCUUGGAGGCAAGGGCAGGAAAUGGCACACACAGGGUCAAGAAGGCUCCAAAGAUAGCUCAAAGAAUGGUAAAUUCAAGCGCCCUAAACAGGAACGCAAACGCCCCGAACAGAUUAUGAAAAGUAGAAACGCAAAAGCAAAGAAACAGGCCUUCCAAAAACAUCAGGAACAGACACGUCAAAAACGUAAAAACUUUUCCUCACAAAUGUCGAAAAAGAAAGGACGCAGAUAGACGUGUAUGCAAUCAGGAUGUUGAAAUGGGUAGGAGAAAACAAAAAUCAUUAAAAAAAUGUGAUAGAAUUAA